RNAcentral lists this ribosomal RNA (225 nucleotides) under uncultured bacterium. RNAcentral's name for it is "partial 16S ribosomal RNA". It matches the Rfam family "Bacterial small subunit ribosomal RNA", at positions 109 to 334 of the family's 1533-position model. The record is from RNAcentral.
AGUAACGCGUGGGUAACCUGCCUCAUACAGGGGGAUAACAGUUAGAAAUGACUGCUAAUACCGCAUAAGCGCACAGUGCUGCAUGGCACAGUGUGAAAAACUCCGGUGGUAUGAGAUGGACUCGCGUCUGAUUAGCUAGUUGGCGGGGUAACGGCCUACCAAGGCGACGAUCGGUAGCCGGCCUGAGAGGGUGAACGGCCACAUUGGGACUGAGACACGGUCCAA